RNAcentral lists this transfer RNA (73 nucleotides) under Pocillopora damicornis (cauliflower coral). RNAcentral's name for it is "tRNA-Arg". It matches the Rfam family "tRNA". From Rfam's summary of the family: Transfer RNA (tRNA) molecules are approximately 80 nucleotides in length. Their secondary structure includes four short double-helical elements and three loops (D, anti-codon, and T loops). Lineage: Eukaryota; Metazoa; Cnidaria; Anthozoa; Scleractinia; Pocilloporidae. The record is from RNAcentral. RNAcentral also lists the same sequence under 1 other name.
GUCCUUGUGGCCUAAUGGAUAAGGCGUUGGCCUCCGGAGCCAAAGAUUGAGGGUUCGAGUCCCUUCAAGGACG